GUAGGGAAUAUUGGACAAUGGGCGAAAGCCUGAUCCAGCCAUGCCGCGUGAUAGAUGAAGGCCCUCUGGGUUGUAAAUAUCUUUUAUCUGGGAAGAAACUCCUCUAUUCUUAGAGGCCUGACGGUACCAGAGGAAUAAGCACCGGCUAACUCCGUGCAGCAGCCGCGGUAAUACGGAGGGUGCAAGCGUUAUCCGGAUUCACUGGGUUUAAAGGGUGCGUAGGCGGGUUGAUAAGUCAGUGGUGAAAGCUCCGGGCUUAACUUGGAAACUGCCAUUGAUACUGUCAAUCUUGAAUGUCGUAGAGGUAAGCGGAAUGUUGCAUGUAGCGGUGAAAUGCUUAGAUAUGUUACAGAACACCAAUUGCGAAGGCAGCUUACUAUGCGAUAAUUGACGCUGAGGCACGAAAGCGUGGGGAGCAAACAGGAUUAGAAACCCCAGUAGUCC
RNAcentral lists this ribosomal RNA (444 nucleotides) under uncultured bacterium. Its description in RNAcentral is "partial 16S ribosomal RNA". It matches the Rfam family "Bacterial small subunit ribosomal RNA", at positions 354 to 796 of the family's 1533-position model. The record is from RNAcentral.